AUUGAACGCUGGCGGCAUGCCUUACACAUGCAAGUCGAACGGACAGCGGGGACUUCGGUCCGCCGGCGAGUGGCGAACGGGUGAGUAAAGUAUCGGAACGUACCUUUCAGUGGGGGAUAACGUAGCGAAAGUUACGCUAAUACCGCAUAUUCUGUGAGCAGGAAAGCAGGGGACCGCAAGACCUUGCGCUGAUUGAGCGGCCGAUAUCAGAUUAGCUAGUUGGUGAGGUAAAGGCUCACCAAGGCGACGAUCUGUAGCGGGUCUGAGAGGAUGAUCCGCCACACUGGAACUGAGACACGGUCCAGACUCCUACGGGAGGCAGCAGUGGGGAAUUUUGGACAAUGGGGGCAACCCUGAUCCAGCCAUGCCGCGUGAGUGAAGAAGG
This 385-nucleotide ribosomal RNA is filed under the name uncultured bacterium. RNAcentral describes it as "bacterial SSU rRNA". It matches the Rfam family "Bacterial small subunit ribosomal RNA", at positions 30 to 414 of the family's 1533-position model. The record is from RNAcentral.